This 391-nucleotide ribosomal RNA is filed under the name uncultured bacterium. Its description in RNAcentral is "bacterial SSU rRNA". It matches the Rfam family "Bacterial small subunit ribosomal RNA", at positions 118 to 507 of the family's 1533-position model. The record is from RNAcentral.
UGGGAAUCUGCCCAGUCGUGGGGAUAACGUAGGGAAACUUACGCUAAUACCGCAUGCGCCCUUCGGGGGAAAGCCGGGGACCUUCGGGCCUGGCGCGAUUGGAUGAGCCCACGUCGGAUUAGCUAGUUGGCGGGGUAAAGCCCACCAAGGCGACGAUCCGUAGCUGGUCUGAGAGGAUGAUCAGCCACACUGGAACUGAGACACGGUCCAGACUCCUACGGGAGGCAGCAGUAGGGAAUAUUGGACAAUGGGCGCAAGCCUGAUCCAGCCAUGCCGCGUGAGUGAAGAAGGCCCUCGGGUUGUAAAGCUCUUUUGUCCGGAAAGAAAAGCGCCGGGUUAAUACCCUGGUGUCCUGACGGUACCGGAAGAAUAAGCACCGGCUAACUUCGUG